Molecule: ribosomal RNA, 1139 nt
Filed under: human oral metagenome
Description: bacterial LSU rRNA
Rfam family: Bacterial large subunit ribosomal RNA
Source: RNAcentral
UUUCCUACGCAACGUUCAUCGGCGUAGGGUGAGUCGGCCCCUAAGGCGAGGCAGAGAUGCGUAGUCGAUGGGAAACGGGUUAAUAUUCCCGUACUUGAUUCAAAUGCGAUGUGGGGACGGAGAAGGUUAUGCUGGCAAUCUGUUGGAAUAGAUUGUUUAAGCCGGUAGGUAGAAGGAGUAGGCAAAUCCGCUUCUUUAAUACCGAGACGUGAUGACGAGUGUCUACGGACAUGAAGCAGCAAAUACCACGCUUCCAGGAAAAGCCACUAAGCUUCAGUUUGAAUUAAACCGUACCGCAAACCGACACAGGUGGGCAGGAUGAGAAUUCUAAGGCGCUUGAGAGAACUCGGGAGAAGGAACUCGGCAAAUUGAUACCGUAACUUCGGGAGAAGGUAUGCCCUCUAAUGUAAAGGACUUGCUCCGGAAGCAUCUGAGGGUCGCAGAGAAUCGGUGGCUGCGACUGUUUAUUAAAAACACAGCACUCUGCAAACACGAAAGUGGACGUAUAGGGUGUGACGCCUGCCCGGUGCUGGAAGGUUAAUUGAAGAUGUGCAAGCAUCGGAUCGAAGCCCCAGUAAACGGCGGCCGUAACUAUAACGGUCCUAAGGUAGCGAAAUUCCUUGUCGGGUAAGUUCCGACCCGCACGAAUGGCGUAACGAUGGCCACACUGUCUCCUCCCGAGACUCAGCGAAGUUGAAAUGGUUGUGAAGAUGCAAUCUCCCCGCUGCUAGACGGAAAGACCCCGUGAACCUUUACUGUAGCUUUGCAUUGGACUUUGAAGUCACUUGUGUAGGAUAGGUGGGAGGCUUAGAAGCAGAGACGCCAGUUUCUGUGGAGCCGUCCUUGAAAUACCACCCUGGUGGCUUUGAGGUUCUAACCCAGACCCGUAAUCCGGGUCGGGGACCGUGCAUGGUAGGCAGUUUGACUGGGGCGGUCUCCUCCCAAAGAGUAACGGAGGAGUUCGAAGGUUACCUAGGUCCGGUCGGAAAUCGGACUGAUAGUGCAAUGGCAAAAGGUAGCUUAACUGCGAGACCGACAAGUCGAGCAGGUGCGAAAGCAGGACAUAGUGAUCCGGUGGUUCUGAAUGGAAGGGCCAUCGCUCAACGGAUAAAAGGUACUCCGGGGAUAACAGGCUGAUU